CAGUCGCCACGGGAAUACGGAGGGAGCUAGCGUUGUUCGGAGUUACUGGGCGUAAAGCGCGCGUAGGCGGUUACUCAAGUCAGAGGUGAAAGCCCGGGGCUCAACCACGGAACUGCCUUUGAAACUAGGUGACUAGAAUCUUGGAGAGGUCAGUGGAAUUCCGAGUGUAGAGGUGAAAUUCGUAGAUAUUCGGAAGAACACCAGUGGCGAAGGCGACUGACUGGACAAGUAUUGACGCUGAGGUGCGAAAGCGUGGGGAGCAAACAGGAUUAGAUACCCCUGUAGUCCCUGUCUCUUAUAC
RNAcentral lists this ribosomal RNA (301 nucleotides) under uncultured bacterium. RNAcentral describes it as "partial 16S ribosomal RNA". It matches the Rfam family "Bacterial small subunit ribosomal RNA", at positions 509 to 807 of the family's 1533-position model. The record is from RNAcentral.